UGGGGAAUAUUGCACAAUGGGCGCAAGCCUGAUGCAGCCAUGCCGCGUGUAUGAAGAAGGCCUUCGGGUUGUAAAGUACUUUCAGCGGGGAGGAAGGCGAUAAGGUUAAUAACCUUGUCGAUUGACGUUACCCGCAGAAGAAGCACCGGCUAACUCCGUACCAGCAGCCGCGGUAAUACGGAGGGGGCAAGCGUUAAUCGGAAUUACUGGGCGUAAAGCGCACGCAGGCGGUCUGUCAAGUCGGAUGUGAAAUCCCCGGGCUCAACCUGGGAACUGCAUUCGAAACUGGCAGGCUAGAGUCUUGUAGAGGGGGGUAGAAUUCCAGGUGUAGCGGUGAAAUGCGUAGAGAUCUGGAGGAAUACCGGUGGCGAAGGCGGCCCCCUGGACAAAGACUGACGCUCAGGUGCGAAAGCGUGGGGAGCAAACA
RNAcentral lists this ribosomal RNA (427 nucleotides) under uncultured bacterium. RNAcentral describes it as "partial 16S ribosomal RNA". It matches the Rfam family "Bacterial small subunit ribosomal RNA", at positions 355 to 774 of the family's 1533-position model. The record is from RNAcentral.